Molecule: ribosomal RNA, 468 nt
Filed under: uncultured bacterium
Lineage: Bacteria
Description: partial 16S ribosomal RNA
Rfam family: Bacterial small subunit ribosomal RNA
Source: RNAcentral
GACGAACGCUGGCGGCGUGCUUAACACAUGCAAGUCGAACGGAAAGGCCCUGCUUUUGUGGGGUGCUCGAGUGGCGAACGGGUGUGUAACAAGUGAGUAACCUGCCCUUGAACUUGGGAUAACUUCAGGAAACUGGGGCUAAUACCGGAUAGGAGCUCCUGCUGCAUGGUGGGGGUUGGAAAGUUUCGGCGGUUGGGGAUGGACUCGCGGCUUAUCAGCUUGUUGGUGGGGUAGUGGCGUACAAAGGCUUUGACGGGUAGCCGGCCUGAGAGGGUGACCGGCCACAAUGGGACUGAGAUACGGCCCAGACUCCUACGGGAGGCAGCAGUGGGGAAUAUAGCGCAACGGGCGGAAGCCUGAUGCAGCAACGCCGCGUGCGGGAUGACGGCCUUCGAGUUGUAAACCGCUUUCGACUGUGACGAAGCGUGAGUGACGGUAAUGGGUAAAGAAGCACCGGCUAACUACGUG